This 118-nucleotide small nucleolar RNA is filed under the name Octodon degus (degu). Its description in RNAcentral is "Small nucleolar RNA SNORA40 (ENSODEG00000022461.1)". It matches the Rfam family "Small nucleolar RNA SNORA40". From Rfam's summary of the family: The snoRNA ACA 40 belongs to the H/ACA family of snoRNAs and guides the pseudouridylation of 28S rRNA subunit at position U4565. The record is from Rfam by way of RNAcentral. Lineage: Eukaryota; Metazoa; Chordata; Mammalia; Rodentia; Octodontidae.
AGCAUUUGUGUGUCUGUUUUUGUCUAGCUUGUGGACUAAGACUUAGGGACAGGUGCAGAAAGGGAAUUUUCUCUUGCAGCCCAUAACUCACUGUUCAGUACAUGCAAGAAGGGACACU